This 253-nucleotide ribosomal RNA is filed under the name uncultured bacterium. RNAcentral describes it as "partial 16S ribosomal RNA". It matches the Rfam family "Bacterial small subunit ribosomal RNA", at positions 524 to 776 of the family's 1533-position model. The record is from RNAcentral.
GACGUAGGGGGCCAGCGUUGUUCGGAAUUACUGGGUGUAAAGGGUUCGUAGGCGGUGUGGCAAGUUGGGAGUGAAAUCUCUGGGCUCAACCCAGAGGCUGCUUCCAAAACUGCCAUGCUUGAGUGUGGGAGAGGCGCGUGGAAUUGCAGGUGUAGCGGUGAAAUGCGUAGAUAUCGGGAGGAACACCUGAGGCGAAGGCGGGCUACUGGGCCGAUACUGACGCUGAUGCGCGAAAGCCAGGGGAGCAAACAGG